AGCUCUAAUAGCGUAUAUUAAAGUUGUUGCAGUUAAAAAGCUCGUAGUUGAACUUCGGGCCUGAUUUGCUGGUCCGCCGCAAGGCGUGUACUGGUUUCGAAUCGGGCCUUUCCUCCUGACUACCCAUGAUGUUCUUUACCGGAUGUCAUGGCGGCUCAGGACUUUUACUUUGAAAAAAUUAGAGUGUUCAAAGCAGGCCUUUGCUCGAAUAUAUUAGCAUGGAAUAAUAGAAUAGGACGUAUGGUUCUAUUUUGUUGGUUUCUAGGACCGUCGUAAUGAUUAAUAGGGACAGUCGGGGGCAUCAGUAUUCAAUUGUCAGAGGUGAAAUUCUUGGAUUUAUUGAAGACUAACUACUGCGAAAGCAUUUGCCAAGGAUGUUUUCA
Molecule: ribosomal RNA, 383 nt
Filed under: uncultured eukaryote
Lineage: Eukaryota
Description: SSU rRNA
Rfam family: Eukaryotic small subunit ribosomal RNA
Source: RNAcentral